GACGAACGCUGGCGGCGUGCUUAACACAUGCAAGUCGAACGGAAAGGCCCUGCUUUUGUGGGGUGCUCGAGUGGCGAACGGGUGAGUAACACGUGAGUAACCUGCCCUUGACUUUGGGAUAACUUCAGGAAUCUGGGGAUAAUACCGGAUAGGAGCUCCUGCUGGAUGGUGGGGGUUGGUAAGUUUCGGCUGUUGGGGACGAGCGCGCGGUUUAUCAGCUUGUUGGGGGGGGGGUGGCUAUCGAAGGCUGUGGCGGGUGGCCGGCCUGGGAGGGUGACCUGCCACAUUGGGACUGAGAUAAGGCCCAGACCCCUACGGGAGGAAACAGGGGGGAAAAUUGCAAAAUGGGCGGAAGCGUGAUGCAGCAACGCCGCGUGCGGGAUAACGGCCUUCGGGGUGUAAACCGCUUUCUCCUGUGACGAAGCGUGAGUGACGGUAAUGGGUAAAGAAGCACCGGCUAACUACGUG
This 468-nucleotide ribosomal RNA is filed under the name uncultured bacterium. Its description in RNAcentral is "partial 16S ribosomal RNA". It matches the Rfam family "Bacterial small subunit ribosomal RNA", at positions 28 to 507 of the family's 1533-position model. The record is from RNAcentral.